AUACGGAGGGUCCGAGCGUUAAUCGGAAUUACUGGGCGUAAAGCGCGCGUAGGCGGAUAUUUAAGUCAGAUGUGAAAUCCCUGGGCUCAACCUAGGAACUGCAUUUGAAACUGGAUAUCUCGAGUAUGGUAGAGGUGAGUGGAAUUUCAGGUGUAGCGGUGAAAUGCGUAGAGAUCUGAAGGAACAUCAGUGGCGAAGGCGACUCACUGGGCCAUUACUGACGCUGAGGUGCGAAAGCGUGGGUAGCAAACAGGAUUAGAAACCCUAGUAGUCC
This 274-nucleotide ribosomal RNA is filed under the name uncultured bacterium. RNAcentral's name for it is "partial 16S ribosomal RNA". It matches the Rfam family "Bacterial small subunit ribosomal RNA", at positions 523 to 796 of the family's 1533-position model. The record is from RNAcentral.